AGCUCCAAUAGCGUAUAUUAAAGUUGUUGUGGUUAAAAAGCUCGUAGUUGGAUCUCAACAGACCUGGAUCGGUUUACUUUGUGUAAUACUGAUCCAGAGCUGUGCUUUUGAUGGAGGUUUAGGGGUGCUCUUAACCGAGUGUCUCUGAGUGCCAUCAGGUUUACUUUGAAAAAAUUAGAGUGCUCAAAGCAGGCUGUUACGCCUGAAUAUUCGUGCAUGGAAUAAUAGAAUAGGAUGUCGAUCCUAUUUUGUUGGUUUUCGGGACUCGACAUAAUGAUUAAUAGGGACAGUCGGGGGCAUUUGUAUUCAAACGACAGAGGUGAAAUUCUUGGACCGUUUGAAGACAAACUACUGCGAAAGCAUUUGCCAAGAAUGUUUUCAUUAAUCAAGAACGAAAGUA
RNAcentral lists this ribosomal RNA (400 nucleotides) under phytoplankton environmental sample. Its description in RNAcentral is "partial small subunit ribosomal RNA". It matches the Rfam family "Eukaryotic small subunit ribosomal RNA", at positions 587 to 991 of the family's 1831-position model. The record is from RNAcentral.